This 546-nucleotide ribosomal RNA is filed under the name Nakaseomyces glabratus. RNAcentral describes it as "eukaryotic LSU rRNA". It matches the Rfam family "Eukaryotic large subunit ribosomal RNA", at positions 77 to 628 of the family's 3401-position model. The record is from RNAcentral. Lineage: Eukaryota; Fungi; Ascomycota; Saccharomycetes; Saccharomycetales; Saccharomycetaceae.
GCCUUAGUAACGGCGAGUGAAGCGGCAAAAGCUCAAAUUUGAAAUCUGGUACCUUUGGUGCCCGAGUUGUAAUUUGGAGAGUACCACUUUGGGACUGUACUUUGCCUAUGUUCCUUGGAACAGGACGUCAUGGAGGGUGAGAAUCCCGUGUGGCGAGGGUGUCAGUUCUUUGUAAAGGGUGCUCGAAGAGUCGAGUUGUUUGGGAAUGCAGCUCUAAGUGGGUGGUAAAUUCCAUCUAAAGCUAAAUACAGGCGAGAGACCGAUAGCGAACAAGUACAGUGAUGGAAAGAUGAAAAGAACUUUGAAAAGAGAGUGAAAAAGUACGUGAAAUUGUUGAAAGGGAAGGGCAUUUGAUCAGACAUGGUGUUUUGCGCCCCUUGCCUCUCGUGGGCUUGGGACUCUCGCAGCUCACUGGGCCAGCAUCGGUUUUGGCGGCCGGAAAAAACCUAGGGAAUGUGGCUCUGCGCCUCGGUGUAGAGUGUUAUAGCCCUGGGGAAUACGGCCAGCCGGGACCGAGGACUGCGAUACUUGUUAUCUAGGAUGCUG